This 750-nucleotide ribosomal RNA is filed under the name uncultured bacterium. Its description in RNAcentral is "bacterial SSU rRNA". It matches the Rfam family "Bacterial small subunit ribosomal RNA", at positions 8 to 796 of the family's 1533-position model. The record is from RNAcentral.
AGAGUUUGAUCCUGGCUCAGGACGAACGCUGGCGGCGUGCCUAAUGCAUGCAAGUCGCACGCAGAGUGCUUGCACUCUGAGUGGCGCACGGCUGAGUAGCACGUGGGAAUCGGUCCAAGGGUGGGGGGAUAACUCCGCGAAAGCGGGGCUAAUCCCCGCAUAGCCUCCUCGGAGGAAAGCGGUAACGCGCCAUCGGACGAGCCCGCGGCCCAUCAGGUUGUUGGCGGGGUAACGGCCCACCAAGCCACUGACGGGUAGCUGGUCUGUGAGGACGACCAGCCAGACUGGGACUGAGAUACGGCCCAGACUCCUACGGGAGGCAGCAGCAAGGAAUUUUCGGCAAUGGGCGCAAGCCUGACCGAGCAACGCCGCGUGCGGGAUGACGGCCUUCGGGUUGUAAACCGCUUUUGGGGGGGAUGACACACGACAGUACCCUCCGAAUCAGCCCCGGCUAACUCUGUGCCAGCAGCCGCGGUAAUACAGAGGGGGCAAGCGUUGUCCGGAUUGACUGGGCGUAAAGCGCACGUAGGUGGCUUGGCAAGUGGGGUGUGAAACCCGUCGGCUUAACCGAUGGACGCCAUCCCAAACUGCUAGGCUUGAGCCGUGUAGAGGUCCGUGGAAUUGCCGGUGUAGUGGUGAAAUGCGUAGAGAUCGGCAGGAACACCAAGGGGGAAGCCAGCGGACUGGGCACGUGCUGACACUGAGGUCGACAGCGUGGGGAGCGAACCGGAUUAGAUACCCUAGUAGUCC